UACGGGGGGGGCAAGCGUUGUUCGGAAUUACUGGGCGUAAAGGGCGCGUAGGCGGCCUUCUAAGUCGGACGUGAAAUCCCUCGGCUUAACCGAGGAACUGCGUCCGAUACUGAAAGGCUUGAAUCCGGUAGAGGGAUGUGGAAUUCCAGGUGUAGCGGUGAAAUGCGUAGAUAUCUGGAGGAACACCGGUGGCGAAGGCGGCAUCCUGGACCGGCAUUGACGCUGAGGCGCGAAAGCUAGGGGAGCAAACGGG
RNAcentral lists this ribosomal RNA (253 nucleotides) under uncultured bacterium. RNAcentral describes it as "partial 16S ribosomal RNA". It matches the Rfam family "Bacterial small subunit ribosomal RNA", at positions 524 to 776 of the family's 1533-position model. The record is from RNAcentral.